This 466-nucleotide ribosomal RNA is filed under the name uncultured bacterium. RNAcentral describes it as "partial 16S ribosomal RNA". It matches the Rfam family "Bacterial small subunit ribosomal RNA", at positions 28 to 507 of the family's 1533-position model. The record is from RNAcentral.
GACGAACGCUGGCGGCGUGCUUAACACAUGCCAGUCGAACGGUAAGGCUCCAGCUUGCUGGGGUACACGAGUGGCGAACGGGUGAGUAACACGUGGGUGACCUGCCCUGCACUUCGGGAUAAGCCUUGGAAACUGGGUCUAAUACCGGAUAGGACCAUGGUGUGGAUACUGUGGUGGAAAGUUUUUUCGGUGUGGGAUGGGCCCGCGGCCUAUCAGCUUGUUGGUGGGGUAAUGGCCUACCAAGGCGGCGACGGGUAGCCGGCCUGAGAGGGUGGACGGCCACAUUGGGACUGAGACACGGCCCAGACUCCUACGGGAGGCAGCAGUGGGGAAUAUUGCACAAUGGGCGGAAGCCUGAUGCAGCGACGCCGCGUGGGGGAUGACGGCCUUCGGGUUGUAAACUCCUUUCACCAUCGACGAAGGGUUUCUGACGGUAGAUGGAGAAGAAGCACCGGCUAACUACGUG